Molecule: ribosomal RNA, 253 nt
Filed under: uncultured bacterium
Lineage: Bacteria
Description: partial 16S ribosomal RNA
Rfam family: Bacterial small subunit ribosomal RNA
Source: RNAcentral
UACGUAGGUGGCGAGCGUUGUCCGGAAUUACUGGGUGUAAAGCGCGUGUAGGCGGGAGGCCAAGUCUGUGGUGAAAUCGCUCGGCUUAACUGGGCGGGGUCCAUGGAAACUGGUCACCUGGAGGUCGGUAGAGGCAAGUGGAAUUCCACGUGUAGCAGUGAAAUGCGUAGAGAUGUGGAGGAACACCGAUGGCGAAGGCAGCCCCCUGGGUCAAGAUUGACGCUCAUGCACGAAAGCGUGGGGAGCAAACAGG